UACAGCAAGCCUGUUUCUUCUGGGUCAGGAUACAAGCUUUAAUUUAAGAUCAAGGAGGAAGAAAAGAAAUUUUAUGUUGAUGGAUCUUUAAAGGAAUGUCUGCCUGAACCCCAUUCAAAAGAAAAUUCAUGGAAUUAAGUGUGUUAUGGAUCAUUUUUGCAUCAUGGGAAAAACUUGGAGUUCCAGUUGGACCCUUACAAACUGUGUGUGCAAGGUUUAAAUCUAAUUUGCAACAUUGAUAUGGAUGAAUAUGUCAAAACAAAAGGACUCUUUCCAUCAUUGGACUUUAAUAUUUUGGAUAACCAAGGCCAAUGAGUGUCUGAAAAGAAUUAAUUCCUGUACAGCAUUCAACACAAUUUUGUCUGUGAAUACCAGUAAUAACAUUCUACUUCAUUUCUCCACUUCUGGGCACAGUUUGACUGGGAUUCUUUUUACCCCUCUUCGAUUUCUACAUUUUAAACCACUGUUUAUAUCAGCAGCCUGGCUGAAGAAUGUCUGAAAGAGUUUGAAGUUCAAGGGGAUGUUUGUGUGUGUUUUGGCAGAUGUUAAGAAGUUUUUCAAAAAAUGAGUGCUGGUGUCUUACUAGAGGAAACUUCUGUCUUCCAACUGAGAACCUCUUGAGAGCUUAUUUGUUGCUCUACAUGCUCUGUCUGGUAUGGCAGUGAUACCUUUCACAUUUUA
Molecule: long non-coding RNA, 681 nt
Organism: Numida meleagris (helmeted guineafowl)
Lineage: Eukaryota; Metazoa; Chordata; Aves; Galliformes; Numididae
Exons: 4
Source: RefSeq, a predicted model, not a curated record